GAUGAACGCUGGCGGCGUGCUUAACACAUGCCAGUCGAACGAAGCACUUUAUUUGAUUUCCUUCGGGACUGAUUAUUUUGUGACUGAGUGGCGGACGGGUGAGUAACGCGUGGGUAACCUGCCUUGUACAGGGGGAUAACAGUUGGAAACGGCUGCUAAUACCGCAUAAGCGCACAGCAUCGCAUGAUGCAGUGUGAAAAACUCCGGUGGUAUAAGAUGGACCCGCGUUGGAUUAGCUAGUUGGUGAGGUAACGGCCCACCAAGGCGACGAUCCAUAGCCGACCUGGGAGGGUGACCGGCCACAUUGGGACUGAGACACGGCCCAAACUCCUACGGGAGGCAGCAGUGGGGAAUAUUGCACAAUGGGCGAAAGCCUGAUGCAGCGACGCCGCGUGAGCGAAGAAGUAUUUCGGUAUGUAAAGCUCUAUCAGCAGGGAAGAUAAUGACGGUACCUGACUAAGAAGCACCGGCUAAAUACGUG
RNAcentral lists this ribosomal RNA (481 nucleotides) under uncultured bacterium. RNAcentral's name for it is "partial 16S ribosomal RNA". It matches the Rfam family "Bacterial small subunit ribosomal RNA", at positions 28 to 507 of the family's 1533-position model. The record is from RNAcentral.